RNAcentral lists this ribosomal RNA (497 nucleotides) under uncultured Sphingobacteriales bacterium. Its description in RNAcentral is "bacterial SSU rRNA". It matches the Rfam family "Bacterial small subunit ribosomal RNA", at positions 904 to 1382 of the family's 1533-position model. The record is from RNAcentral. Lineage: Bacteria; Pseudomonadati; Bacteroidota; Sphingobacteriia; Sphingobacteriales.
CGCCUUGCCAGCCCGCUACAGAACUAAGGAAGUGACGGGGCCGCACAAGCGUGGAGCAUGUGGUUAAUUCGAUGAUACGCGAGGAACCUUACCUGGGCUCAAAUGUAUGUUGACGUAUUCUGAAAGGGAUACUUCUUCGGACAAUAUACAAGGUGCUGCAUGGUUGUCGUCAGCUCGUGCCGUGAGGUGUCGGGUUAAGUCCCAUAACGAGCGCAACCCCUAUCAUUAGUUGCCAUCAGGUCAAGCUGGGGACUCUAAUGAAACUGCCUACGCAAGUAGUGAGGAAGGUGGGGAUGACGUCAAAUCAGCACGGCCCUUACGUCCAGGGCUACACACGUGCUACAAUGGCCGGUACAAAGGGCAGCUACCUGGUGACAGGAUGCUAAUCUCAAAAGCCGGUCUCAGUUCGGAUCGGAGUCUGCAACCCGACUCCGUGAAGCUGGAUUCGCUAGUAAUCGCGCAUCAGCCACGGCGCGGUGAAUACGUUCCCGGGCCUU